AAAAUAUAAUAUUAACAUAUUCCUUGGAGAGAGAUUCGAGAGAGCUAUUUGACGCAAGAGAUCAUACCUGGGAGAGAGAGUAUAAAAAAAGGUUCAAUUCUUCAUUAUUCUUGAUGAUUAUUCUUCGUCUUCGUUCCCUAGUCCUCGUUGGAUGUUCCAGACAGGAUGGGACAUGGAAUCACUCUGUUACAUUUUUCCCGUCUUUUAUCCAGAGUCUGAGAGCAGAACCCUGGAGACGUCCAGUCUGUGUGGAGACCUCGGAGCGACUUGAGGACAUGUGUAGUUCAUUUGGUGACUCCUUAGCGACUCCCCGAUUAAUUGUUGUCUUCUUACUAGCAACUUACUUUUCCC
This 351-nucleotide long non-coding RNA is filed under the name Androctonus crassicauda. The record is from RNAcentral. Lineage: Eukaryota; Metazoa; Arthropoda; Arachnida; Scorpiones; Buthidae.